AUUGAACGCUGGCGGCAGGCUUAACACAUGCAAGUCGAGCGGGGUGAUGGUGCUUGCACUAUCACUUAGCGGCGGACGGGUGAGUAAUGCUUAGGAAUCUGCCUAUUAGUGGGGGACAACAUCUCGAAAGGGAUGCUAAUACCGCAUACGUCCUACGGGAGAAAGCGGGGGAUCUUCGGACCUUGCGCUAAUAGAUGAGCCUAAGUCGGAUUAGCUAGUUGGUGGGGUAAAGGCCUACCAAGGCGACGAUCUGUAGCGGGUCAGAGAGGAUGAUCCGCCACACUGGGACUGAGACACGGCCCAGACUCCUACGGGAGGCAGCAGUGGGGAAUAUUGGACAAUGGGGGGAACCCUGAUCCAGACAUGCCGCGUGUGUGAAGAAGGCCUUAUGGUUGUAAAGCACUUUAAGCGAGGAGGAGGCUACUCUAGUUAAUACCUAGGGAUAGUGGACGUUACUCGCAGAAUAAGCACCGGCUAACUCUGUGCCAGCCGCCGCCGUAA
This 501-nucleotide ribosomal RNA is filed under the name uncultured bacterium. RNAcentral's name for it is "partial 16S ribosomal RNA". It matches the Rfam family "Bacterial small subunit ribosomal RNA", at positions 30 to 523 of the family's 1533-position model. The record is from RNAcentral.